This 301-nucleotide ribosomal RNA is filed under the name uncultured bacterium. RNAcentral's name for it is "partial 16S ribosomal RNA". It matches the Rfam family "Bacterial small subunit ribosomal RNA", at positions 509 to 807 of the family's 1533-position model. The record is from RNAcentral.
CAGUAGCCGCGGGAACACGGAGGGGGCUAGCGUUGUUCGGAAUUACUGGGCGUAAAGCGCACGUAGGCGGCUUGGUAAGUUAGAGGUGAAAGCCUGGAGCUCAACUCCAGAAUUGCCUUUAAGACUGCAGGGCUAGCAGGUGAGAGAGGUGAGUGGAAUUCCGAGUGUAGAGGUGAAAUUCGUAGAUAUUCGGAAGAACACCAGUGGCGAAGGCGGCUUACUGGCUCAUACUGGACGCUGAGGUGCGAAAGCGUGGGGAGCAAACAGGAUUAGAUACCCCCGUAGUCCCUGUCUCUUAUAC